This 255-nucleotide unclassified non-coding RNA is filed under the name Hevea brasiliensis (rubber tree). The record is from RNAcentral. Lineage: Eukaryota; Viridiplantae; Streptophyta; Magnoliopsida; Malpighiales; Euphorbiaceae.
CAGCCGAAGCGUUCGUACAGGUCAAGAUGGCGGAAGGCCGUAUCGAGAUCGUCGCGCCACAUCAGCCCGACCACCCGCCGUCCCAGCCAGACGCAUUCGGGAUUGCCGGCGGGGCCGUUGAUUGCCUGGGCCGCCUCGACGAACUCGUCGGCCUUGCGCUUGCUUUCCUUGGCUGCGUCAGCGGGAGCCGCCUGUUUGGGGGCCGUGUCCUGAGCCCGGAGGUCGCCGCUUUGAGCGAUUGCGGCUCCGAUACCG